CCUACGGGCGGCAGCAGUGAGGAAUAUUGGUCAAUGGCCGGAAGGCUGAACCAGCCAUGCCGCGUGAAGGUCAGUGCCCUAUGGGCGUUAAACUUCUUUUGUGCGGGAGCAAUAAUGGUCACGUGUGGCCAGCCGAGUGUACCGUUCGAAUAAGCAUCGACUAACUCCGUGACAGCAGCCGCGGUAAUACGGGGGAUGCAAGCGUUAUCUGGAUGUUUUGGGGUUAAGGGGGGCGUAGGCUGGUAGGUAAGUCAGCGGUGAAAUGCCCCCGCUCAACGGGGUGAAGUGCCAUUGAUACUGCCUUGGUGGAAGGCGGAUGCCGUGGGAGGAAUGUAUGGUGUAGCGGUGAAAUGCA
This 355-nucleotide ribosomal RNA is filed under the name uncultured bacterium. RNAcentral describes it as "partial 16S ribosomal RNA". It matches the Rfam family "Bacterial small subunit ribosomal RNA", at positions 338 to 690 of the family's 1533-position model. The record is from RNAcentral.